GAUGAACGCUGACAGAAUGCUUAACACAUGCAAGUCGAUGGGGAAGUGGUGCUUGCACCAUGGCAACCAUGGCGGACGGGUGAGUAACGCGUAAGGGACUUACCUGCAGGACUGGGAUAACAGGGGGAAACUCCUGACAAGACCGGAUAAUGUUAUGGAGCUGCAUGGCUUUAUGAUGAAAGGAGACGCCUGCGGAGAGCCUUGCGUCCUAUUAGCUAGUUGGUGAGGUAAUGGCUCACCAAGGCGAAGAUAGGUAGCCGGCCUGAGAGGGUGGACGGCCACAAGGGGACUGAGAUACGGCCCUUACUCCUACGGGAGGCAGCAGUGGGGAAUAUUGGACAAUGGGGGCAACCCUGAUCCAGCAAUUCUGUGUGCACGAAGAAGGUUUUCGGAUUGUAAAGUGCUUUCAGCAGGGAAGAAGUAAGUGACGGUACCUGCAGAAGAAGCGACGGCUAAAUACGUG
This 463-nucleotide ribosomal RNA is filed under the name uncultured bacterium. RNAcentral's name for it is "partial 16S ribosomal RNA". It matches the Rfam family "Bacterial small subunit ribosomal RNA", at positions 28 to 507 of the family's 1533-position model. The record is from RNAcentral.